GCAUUUAAGAAAUACUCCAUCAAGACUUUUGGGAUAUACUGGAGAAUCAGUCACUAGAAGGUUUAAGUGAUGUGAUCACCUUCUCAUGCAGGUAUUAGGAAGAAAUCCGUGACUAAAUGACUGACAAUAUUCCCCAGAAAGACACUUGCUACAAGGCAUGUAGAAAUUGGCUCACCCUACAAUGUGAUAGUCUGGGAAGACUUCUGCCUGGAUGACCUGCACAAAAAAUGACACUGCCCUGCAGAUGCUUGAGGUGAAAUUUUCUCAGUGAUAUGUUUAUCUGUACACAAACACUCCCACCCUGCCCCCAGCCCCUGCCUUCAUGCCAGAAGAAAAGUGGAGCAUGCACCUUGCAUGCAAUCCCAAAGAGUCCUCCACGCAUCUCCUUCUGCUGCUGGGAAUUUGGCAUAUGCUCCUCCUGCACCUGCUGCUUUGCUGCUGCUCAGGGACAUAUUGUUGCUCUCACAUCAUCUGCUUCUGAUCAGCUUUCAACAUCUGCCAAAAUCCCAAGGACACAUGCAAGAUUUUCUCUAGUGGAAUGGAAGCAAAUACAUUUUCCUCCCCAUGAAAAAUGUGCCCAUGCACAGGAAUUAUCAAGUACCAUACUCUGUGUUCCCAUGAGCAGAUCCUUCUUGGGAAGCCUUUGGUAUCAGAUUUGGACUGGCAUCAAGGCUUUGUUAACUGCAGCUUUUCCAUUGAUCCUGAUGGCUUCUGAAUGAGGCCCCAUCAAAGAUUCUGGCAUAAGUUCAAACAGUCUCUGAUGAAUAACAAAGGCAUUCCGAAGCAGCUGCCACCAUUCACUUUCGCGUGUAGUCUUGUCUGAGUCAGGAGACCAGCCUAUGGAAAAGAAGAGAG
RNAcentral lists this long non-coding RNA (855 nucleotides) under Cyanistes caeruleus (blue tit). Its description in RNAcentral is "lncRNA (ENSCCEG00000019933.1)". Lineage: Eukaryota; Metazoa; Chordata; Aves; Passeriformes; Paridae. The record is from RNAcentral.